GAUGAACGCUAGCGGCAGGCUUAAUACAUGCAAGUCGAACGGUAAGUAGUGUAGCAAUACAUUACCAAGAGUGACGUACGGGUGCGUAACACGUAUGCAACCUACCUUGUACAGGAGUAUAGCUCGGGGAAACUCGAAUUAACCCUCCAUAAGAUCGUGGUGUGGCAUCACACAGCGAUAAAAACUCAGGUGGUACAAGCUGGGCAUGCGUCUGAUUAGAGUUGGCGGGGUAACGGCCCACCAAGACGAUGAUCAGUAGGGGAACGUGA
RNAcentral lists this ribosomal RNA (269 nucleotides) under uncultured bacterium. RNAcentral's name for it is "partial 16S ribosomal RNA". It matches the Rfam family "Bacterial small subunit ribosomal RNA", at positions 28 to 295 of the family's 1533-position model. The record is from RNAcentral.